UAUGUGAUCGUCUCUCGCAUAUCAAUAAGCGGAGGAAAAGAAACUAACAAGGAUUCCCCUAGUAACGGCGAGUGAAGCGGGAAGAGCUCAAAUUUGAAAUCUUAAAGGGUUUCCCUUUACGAAUUGUAGUUUAAAGAAGUGUUUUCUGUUGAGGUUUUGGUAAAAGUUCUUUGGAAUAGGACAUCAUAGAGGGUGAGAAUCCCGUAUUUGACCUUUACUUUCAACUUUGUGAUACACUUUCAAAGAGUCGGAUUGUUUGGGAAUGCAGUCCAAAAUGGGUGGUAAAUUUCAUCUAAAGCUAAAUAUUGGCGAGAGACCGAUAGCGAACAAGUACCGUGAGGGAAAGAUGAAAAGAACUUUGAAAAGAGAGUUAAACAGUACGUGAAAUUGUCAAAGGGAAGCGUUUGACACCAGUGUUGUUUUUCUGAAAAUCAAUUAAAGAACUGUUUAUGCUAAGUUGUUUAGACUUUAUCAGCUAACUGUUUAGUUUUGAGCUUUUCUUUAAUGCACUUUUCAGUUAACAAGUCAACAUCAAUUUCUUUUGCUGUAAAAAAGCUUGAGGAAGGUGGCUUGAGAUUCGUCUUAAGUGUUUAUAGCCUCUUGCCUAUGCAGUCGGAGAGAUUGAGGUCUGCAGCGUAGAUCCUUCGGGGCUAAAUGCAUUUGUGCUAAGUUAUAGCAUUUUAUAGACAACUUGUUGACUAUGAUUUGUCUUGUAGCUUACUCGCUUAUGUUAUUUUACCUACGCUUAGGAUGUUGACACACGCGCGUGCUCG
This 773-nucleotide ribosomal RNA is filed under the name uncultured Neocallimastigales. Its description in RNAcentral is "partial large subunit ribosomal RNA". It matches the Rfam family "Eukaryotic large subunit ribosomal RNA", at positions 24 to 643 of the family's 3401-position model. Lineage: Eukaryota; Fungi; Neocallimastigomycota; Neocallimastigomycetes; Neocallimastigales. The record is from RNAcentral.